Molecule: ribosomal RNA, 468 nt
Filed under: uncultured bacterium
Lineage: Bacteria
Description: partial 16S ribosomal RNA
Rfam family: Bacterial small subunit ribosomal RNA
Source: RNAcentral
AACGAACGCUGGCGGCAUGCUUAACACAUGCAAGUCGAACGGCAGCGCCCUGCUUGUUUGCGCUUCUGGAGGGGCGAAGGGGUAAGGAACACGUAAGUAACCGGCCCUUCACUUUGGGAUAACUUCAGGAAGGUGGGCCUAAUACCAUACAGGAUCUCCCGCUGCAGUGUGGGGGUGGGAUAGUUUCGGCGGGUGGGGAUGGAUUGGCGGGUGAUGGGCUUGCUGGUUGGGUAGUGGCUGACCAAGGCUGUGACGGGUAGCCGGCCUGAGAGGGUGACCGGCGACAUUGCGACUGAGAUACGGCCCAGACUCCUACGGGAGGCAGCAGUGGGGAAUCUUGUACAGUCGGAGGAAGCCUGAUGAAGCAACGCUGCGUGUGGGAUGACGGCCUUCGGGUUGUGAAACGCAUCAGGCUGUGACGAAGCGUGAGUGACGGUAAUGGGUAAAGAAGCACCGGCUAACUACGUG